GGUCGGUUAGCUCAGUCGGUUAGAGCGUCGUACUAAUAUAAUACAAUGUGUUAUUUAUAUAAAGUAAUGCGAAGGUCAUGAGUUCGACCCUCAUACUGACCA
Molecule: non-coding RNA, 102 nt
Organism: Nemania abortiva
Lineage: Eukaryota; Fungi; Ascomycota; Sordariomycetes; Xylariales; Xylariaceae
Source: the annotation of a GenBank genome assembly